Molecule: long non-coding RNA, 5689 nt
Filed under: Musa acuminata (dwarf banana)
Lineage: Eukaryota; Viridiplantae; Streptophyta; Magnoliopsida; Zingiberales; Musaceae
Description: long non-coding RNA (MACU_LNC004400)
Source: RNAcentral
AAGUGAGACGUAGAUAUAAUUAAGUUUUAUCAUAAGCAAACAGCUGCAAGCUUCGAGUCUGAUGACAGCUCUUCCAACUUAGUGACUACAGUCUCCUUGUCUUAUCCAUCAAAUAAUUUGUCCUGAAUUUCCCUGUUCACCACAUCUUUCUUCCUUCGCUGAGAAACCUUUAUCAUCUUAGUUAUUUUAUCUCAUUUCAGCCAGCUAUGUCUCACACUGUUCACCUGAAUCUGUUCGGCAGUUCCUGAAAUAUAAAUACAAAUCUUUUAAGAAAAUCUGAAGGAAACCAAGUAAAUGCUAAUGUUUAAGCAAAAUAGAAAAAUAUAACAAACCCCUCAUAUAGUUUUUGAGAUGUGAAAUCCCCGAGAGCAAGUUCGAUCAUAGGCGGGGCCAGCACAGGCUCCCCCUGGACCGAAUCCAGUGAACGGUUGGCUGAUUGCUAUUCAGAAUCUUCCUCAAAUUCCUCAUCUGACAGCUCAUCAAAAGCUCUCAAGUCAAGCUGAUAACGAAGAAUUCCACCAAUGCCACCAAAGCCUCUACAAAAUUGAGACCCCUCUUGUGAUUUAUUAGUAACAAAUUCAAGGGUACAUCCAAAACGUUUGUAUUCAUUUGCAAACCACUCCAGCAAAGAAAUUUUCUCCUGCACCUCCAGCUCUGCAGAGGUAGCAGAAUCCAGAAAGUUAUUCUGAUCUGUUUCUUGAUCCUUCCUCAAAUGCUUUAUGAUGGUCUCCCCACUAGUACUAUGCUUAAGGACAUAUCUGUUUAUAUCCAAAUUCUCCCACACAAUUAAGGUCUCAACAGCACCCAUCUCAAGAGCUUUCAAGGUGUCCUCCACACCAAAAACAUACUUCCCAGUGUCUUGACUUAUUUCCUCAAAAUACUUACCUAUCAAUUUUUUUUCCUGUAUGAACUUGACAUUUGACAGAAUCUCAGCAGAUAGUUCAAUGGCUUGGUUAAAACCGUUCUCACCACCAUAAGAGACAUCAACCACAUUAAGAAUUUUAGCCUGUAAUCGUUGAUCAAACAUGUCAGAUUGGCUCAACUCUGUUUUAAAAUCGGCAGAUCCAGCCAAAAUCAAUCCAGCAACAUUAGGCUGACUUGUGGCAGGGUUGAUAAAAAAUUGUGUUGCAAGCUCGGCAGUCUUGCGGACGUAGUUAUGGCGCUUCUCCAUCCGAAGGCGAGCAAAUCGCAAUGCUGAUUGCCCUCCUCUCCCAUGCUUUUUUGGAAGGUCAACUGUGAACUUGUGAAGCACCUCACGUGUAUUUCCACUUAAAGUGCCAAAAAGAGUGCCAUUGCCAUCCAUUACUAUGAAACCAAACUUGUCAUCAGAUUCCAAAAGCUCAUUUAAUGCCUCUGUAUGGAACUUGUUAUCACAGAGAUAAAGAGAAGCAUUGAUGGGCUUGAACGGCUCAAAAUCUAUUGUGACCUUCUUUUCUUUUCCAUCCUCGGUAACAAUUGUUCCUGUGUAUAAAACUAGUCCAUUUGGAGGAACCUUGUUGUAAAGCUUCAGUCUCUGCUGAGCAGAAGUGAUUGCACCUAGGACAGAUUGCCGAUUGACUCUACUUUUGAUAUUCGAAGCAGUUCCGUAUUCAUCACCUAGCAUCUUAGUGACUCGAGAAACUUGAUCACGAGGUGGCAUAAUUAGAGAGAUCAUGCUAGUGCCAUUACCUCUAGCUUCUUCCAGAGCCCGGAUUAAUUUCUUGACCUUCCAGAUCUCAAUGUUCUUAUCUGUUUCAGCCAUUUCAAUGAAUCUAACACAAGAAAUAGCUUAGGUAGAUCUACCUGAAAAGAAUGAAUAUAUGUACAUAUAUAUUAAAUUUACAUGGAAAGUAUGCAACAACUAUGAACUAACUACGAACUAUCAGAGGAACAAAAGGAAUCCUAUGUCAUACAUACGUACAUGCCACACAGAUUGAAACAGCUUAAUGAAGGGAUGCUGAAAACGCAAUUUCAUGAACAAAAAUAACAGUGUGUAUAGCUCUAACAACAUUUAAGAUUUCAGCAAGCACAAUAAACAUCCACAUUUGGUUGAGGAACAGUGACUUCUAGUGCAACCAUGGGUAAAAAUAUAAUUUCAAAUUUAGACUAGAAGUAAUUGGUCUACAAGCACAGGAAAACUAUAAGCUUUCCUUUCAGAAAUCAUGUAUAGCUCUAACAUGUUCAAGAUUUACAGUAAACACAAGAAACAUCCACAUCAGGUCCAAAAACAUCGACUAGUAAUCUAAUCCUUAAGUAAAAAAACUAACUACAAGUUUAGACUAAAGUAACUGGUCUGCAAGCAUGGGAAAAAUAUAAGCUUCCCUUCAGAAAUCAGGUAAAAUGAGUAAUAUUUUAAUCUGACAAACAAAAAAAAAGCAAAAUCAAUAGUGUGAAAGAGGAUUAUAUGACAAUUUAAAAGUGAGAGCUUUGAACUGUAAAAGUAGCACAAGAGAAGUACAAUGAUAAAAAAAGAGAUAAGUAAAAUGAUUAACGAAAGUAAAAUGCCCCCUUUUGCCACAAAACACUAGUAAAAUGCACACACCUUAUACCCCACGUAGACUAUCCCUCAUAGGUUAUUACUAAAGUACAAUUUCAAAAAUACAUAAUGAUAGCGUUAGACCACAAAAGGUCGCAAAAAUGAAUCUUCCGGACAAAAGUGACCUAGCUAUGCAUCAAUGAAGGAGAAAAGCCCAAAGAUGAAACUCCCCUCUGGCCUUAUUAUAAUGGGUAUAAUUCAUUUAAACUACUGAUAAUAAAUUACAUAGGUUAAGGCAUUCUCAACAAUUCAAAAUCCACAUGCCAAAUUGAUUCCUAAUCGUGCCUUUGGGGGCAGGAAAAUAUGGCACCCACAUAUUGUUAGACUAACAUUUGUCACAUAUCCACCAUCUGUAUGCCAAUUUUACUAUCUCAAACUUCCUUCAUAUGAAAUCUUGAUUUCCAAAAUUACAUUUCGAAGUACUUAUGUACCAAAUUAAAUUAACAUCAACAAAAGAUAUCUAUGGCAUGUACGUUAUUAUCAAGGAUAAUAAAACCUAAAAUGUAAAAUCAAGUGAAAGGACUGCUAAAGAUAUUACUCAAUUUUCAAAUACCAAUUUCACGCUCAGUGGAUUUGGUCAAGAAAAAUCAAAAAGAUCUUCAUUGAUCACUUAUUUCCACUGAAUAAUAAAACUAAGAUAUUUCAAACUUUUACAUUUAGAAAAUUAUUGUCCGUCUAAAUUCUUUUGGUUUAAUUGUCAAAGUUUCACAUGGGAGGAGAACUGGCAGAAGAAGAGGAUGAGGAGUACCAACAGAAUAAAAUAGCAACCCGGAGAAGGAGAUGACAGUGGCACAGCAAGGCAGAGGAAGUGAAGCAGCAGCAGCAUGACAGACAAGUAGAAGUGGAGGGGAGAGAGAAAAUGAAAAAUAUGGCAGCUGCAAGUGACAGUUGCUGAAAUUAAUAAAAAUUGUUGCAGGAACCAAACAGCAAGCUAACUUCUGGGUUUUGGUCCCCCAUGGAUUGUUCAGCAUUUGAUAAGGUUCCAUAGCAACUGAUAUGGACUGUAUUUUGAACCUUGCUUAGUCCUACCACCAAAAACAGAACACUUAUAGAAUGUUUAUUAAAUAAUGCAUUAAAAUAAUGUAUGCAUCUUCCCUUAUUUCAAUAUCAUUAACAAGUACUCUUUAAAACAUCUGAUAAAAACCAAAUCUCUACCUUCUAAAUUCUCAGUAUGACAUUAGAGUCCAAUGAUCCAAGUAACAAAAUUUUGACUUCAAGUUAAGAUUAGCAAGGUUGAUGAAUCAUGCCUCGAUCAAGUUUAGAGGUUUGAAUAUACCAAAGAUGUCAAGAUAAGUUGAAUAGUUUAUAUGAUACAAACAUAUGCUAGAAUCGACAAAGCUAAUGAACCAUGCCUGAAUCAGGAUCCAAUAAUAUUAAAAGAGUUGGAUGAAGCCAACCUGGAUGAAGCCAAUUGGUCAUACCGAUGCCAAUAGGGAUGAUGCAGACAAGAUAUGCAUAACGAUGGACUCUAAACCCUCAAGAACUCUAGGCACUCAACAAGUGAGCGGAAGAUGACCAAACCCAAUAGGACUGAUCGAGCCACACAUGAAAAUCUAAUCCAGUCACACAUGGAAGGGGGAGAUUGUUCAAAGAUCUGAGAUAUUAAUGUCUGAGAUGAGCAUUAUGAUAGGUUUAAGAACAGUCCCGCAUUACUAAGACCAAAAAGGAAUCAGGCCACAUAUUCUGAAGUUGACCUAUUAUAUAAUAGGUUAAGCUUUUAGGUAGUGUUGAUGCUUUCACUACCUUUAAUAGGGCAGCAGAUGUCCUUUCCCCCAACUUUAGUACUUAAAGUUAUCAUAAAAUACUGUAAACCUUGUAUAUGGUCACACUUAAUCUUUUUUAGCCUCCUUUUAUAGCGACAAUGAACCUUCCAAAAUUCUAUUCAUUUUCAUAAUUUUACCUAUCUUUAGGACAUGCUGUAAAUGCCUUUGGAACUUCCUCACACCACCACCAACUUUCCCUUGACAAACAUUCACACCUUUACUCCAAGAACUUCCGUUGAUCUUUAAUCUUACUGUUACCGGCCAUCAUAAUCCACAUGAUACUAGCAACAUUUCCUUACAAAUUUCAAAUCCUUUCCUUUUCCAAGAUACUCUUAAAAGGCCUCAUAUUAACACGUUUCAAACUUCACCAUCUAGUUCUAGUAAAAAAAAAAAUCCCUUUUUCUUCAAUUUUCUAAAACAUAUUUAGGCAGAACUAUAGUAGUUAAAUUUUUCAUUCCUUUAAAAAGGAACAAGAUGCAAAACACCUAGCCUGUGUUGUUUGUUCUUUCUCAAGAGGACCGGUUGUCAGAUGUAUCUUAAGAAGGACCAGUAAAUUAAUAAGAUCGAGUUAAUUCUAAUUCGUCAAAAGAUGUUAAAGAUGGUCACGGUCACCAUUUUUAUGCCCUAAUCUACGACCCUUGUGCCUCUAGCUCUUAGCUCUUCACACCAUCUUGUCAAAGUUAAUGAAUAGUAGAUAACAUAGUAUCUGACUGAAACCAAGGAGGUAAGUAUAUUACUCUAUUUCGUUAAGAUACUCGUCGUUUUUUUUUAAUCUUCUGGCAACACUUCCAAUCAAUCAUACAAUCCGAUGACACAUGUUGUUUUGUUCCAAAGACAAGAAACACAAACUAGCCAAAUCUACCUAUUAACCUAAUGAAUAAAAAUAAUGAUAGUGGCAUGUUUUGAGAACCCAUAAUUUAUUCACGGGUAAAAAUACAGCUAAUAACUCAUAUAAAUAAAGUUAAACCUCAAAAAGAAGCACAUAGAAUAUGAUAUAUCAAAAGUGAGUAAAGCAAAUUAAAAAGAAGCCAAAAAGAUAUUUUUAAUACAUAUAUUGAAGUUAAAUGUUCUGGUUUCAUAUGAACAUUGAUAGUUACAGCUGGAACCACCAAAAUCUGAUCAUAACCUACCAGAUUAGAUGGCAACUAGAAAUGGAAAGUCAAAUCUAACGAAAACCCUUUCCCAAAAAGAACAAAGGUAUCUUUCCAGGUGAAGUUUACGCAUGCACAAGAAUGAAGAUCCAUUAAUUACUCGGAGAAACUAGAAAGUUGCGUUUAUUUCUAGACUACAUGAACCACCAGUCAUAAACCUUCGCUAAAUUUUACACCAGACCGCACAAACAUGCUUGUGAGUUCCUAGUUACAUACAAACAUAUCCAAGGUGUCCUAAUUAACCACACAUCAUAAUAAUU